RNAcentral lists this long non-coding RNA (295 nucleotides) under Gossypium raimondii (Peruvian cotton). RNAcentral's name for it is "long non-coding RNA (GRAI_LNC007297)". Lineage: Eukaryota; Viridiplantae; Streptophyta; Magnoliopsida; Malvales; Malvaceae. The record is from RNAcentral.
GCUGGAAAAGUUUGAGUGGUCUUGAAAUUCCGAGGUGAUUGUGAGUUAGUGGGUUAGUGGGAGAAAAUUAAGUGAUGUGUUAUCAAAAUGUUGUUUUUCUUUUAUUUUCUUUUUUUGAAUUUCUCUCUCUUCUCAAGGUUUCUGACAUUGGUUUUCGCUUCUCCCUUUCCUUCCCUCUGUGCUUUCUGUUUCUAUUCGUUUUGUUUUGUGUUCCUUACUCCGAAUAAAUUGUUUUAAUCGUUGGAGUUCAUUAAUUUGUUUGUGCUUGUUCGUUGGGUAAGUAAGUUCGUUAGGG